CUGUUUAGGUGCAUUUGAAUUCUAUUUUUUUUCGAACAAAUCCCGUCAAAGAUUAUAUAAGAUCACAUCAAAGAUGCUACAUAAACUAUAUCAUCUGAAUAUAUCAUAUAACAAUGCCUCUAACUAAACUUAGAAUAUAGAACUGCCUAAAACAAAUAGAAUUCAAAUGCACCUAAACAGACUGAGUAAAAAAAUCAAUAAAAUAAGAGUUUUGGAGAGUCAGGUCAGACUCCAGAUAUCCUAUCUGACAACAUACCGCAACUACAAUUUUACACAAGAGGAGUCCCUUGCACAAGAUGGCUGCACAAUGGCCAAAAUCACUUCUCAGUCAUUUGUUGCAGGAGGGUUAAUAUCUGAUGCAUUAUCUUUCUGGUUUGGAGAAGGCAUUGUUCCCCUCAUUUUCAAAUCUCCAACUGGCUGCUGCUGUUGUUCUUGCUGCUGCUGCAAUUGUUGCUGCUGAAGCUGAAGCAGUUGAUGCUGCUGGAAUUGAUGCUGCUGUUUCUGCGAAUGAAUUUGGAGCUGCUGAAACUGCUGUGUGGUCAAAAGAGUAUGCAUGGCAUGCUUGUUGGGAUAGAACUGCUGGCCCCCUCCAAAACUGCGGAUGCAAAGUUCAUCAUGGGUCCACCAUUUGGCAUAGCUUGACCAGUCAAUACCUUCAGAUGCUGAAUUUCUUCUUUCAAUGCAUCAUUUAAUGCAUC
RNAcentral lists this unclassified non-coding RNA (698 nucleotides) under Hevea brasiliensis (rubber tree). Lineage: Eukaryota; Viridiplantae; Streptophyta; Magnoliopsida; Malpighiales; Euphorbiaceae. The record is from RNAcentral.